Molecule: ribosomal RNA, 159 nt
Filed under: Perkinsus chesapeaki ATCC PRA-65
Lineage: Eukaryota; Perkinsozoa; Perkinsida; Perkinsidae
Description: 5.8S ribosomal RNA
Rfam family: 5.8S ribosomal RNA
About the family: 5.8S ribosomal RNA (5.8S rRNA) is a component of the large subunit of the eukaryotic ribosome.
Source: RNAcentral
AACUCUCAACGAUGGAUGCCUCGGCUCGAGAAUCGAUGAAGGACGCAGCGAGGUGCGAUAAGCACUGCGAUUUGCAGAAUUCCGUGAACCAGUAGAAAUCUCAACGCAUACUGCACAAAGGGGAUUUAUCCUCUUUGUACAUACGUAUCAGUGUCGCUC